AACGCACCUUGCACUCUUUGGUAUUCCGAAGAGUACGCCUGUUCGAGUGUCAUGAAACUCUCAAACCGUCUGGGGGUUUACUCUCCCUUUCGGUUUGGAUUUGGACUCUGCUGUGUCACAACGGCUAGUCUUAAAUAUAUUAGCUGUCUGAAUCGUCUUUGACUCGGUUUGCACCCAGCGUGAUAAUUAUUAUCGUUGGGGACGUCUUAGCUGACGGCCUGGUCGACUUUUGUGAGACUGCUUCUUAAUCGUGCAUCCCCUUUUGCACAACGAUCAACGAUCGUUCCAUUUCAAAUCUGACCUCGAAUCAGGCGGGACUACCCGCUGAACUUAA
This 334-nucleotide unclassified non-coding RNA is filed under the name uncultured fungus. RNAcentral's name for it is "partial contains 5.8S ribosomal RNA, internal transcribed spacer 2, and large subunit ribosomal RNA". Lineage: Eukaryota; Fungi. The record is from RNAcentral.